Molecule: ribosomal RNA, 253 nt
Filed under: uncultured bacterium
Lineage: Bacteria
Description: partial 16S ribosomal RNA
Rfam family: Bacterial small subunit ribosomal RNA
Source: RNAcentral
UACGUAGGGGGCAAGCGUUGUCCGGAUUUAUUGGGCGUAAAGAGUGUGUAGGCGGUGCUCUAAGUCUGUUGUGAAAUCUCCCGGCUUAACCGGGAGGGUGCGGCGGAAACUGGAGUGCUUGAGGGUGGGAGAGGUAAGCGGAAUUCCUGGUGUAGCGGUGAAAUGCGUAGAUAUCAGGAGGAACACCUGUGGUGUAGACAGCUUACUGGACCACUUCUGACGCUGAGACACGAAAGCGUGGGUAGCAAACAGG